AACAGCUCAAAUUUGAAAUCUGGCUUCGGCCCGAGUUGUAAUUUGUAGAGGAUGCUUUUGGUGAGGUGCCUUCUGAGUUCCCUGGAACGGGACGCCAGAGAGGGUGAGAGCCCCGUAUAGUCGGCCACCGAUCCUCUGUAAAGCUCCUUCGACGAGUCGAGUAGUUUGGGAAUGCUGCUCAAAAUGGGAGGUAUAUCUCUUCUAAAGCUAAAUAUUGGCCAGAGACCGAUAGCGCACAAGUAGAGUGAUCGAAAGAUGAAAAGCACUUUGAAAAGAGGGUUAAAUAGCACGUGAAAUUGUUGAAAGGGAAGCGCUUGUGACCAGACUUGUGCCGGGCUGAUCAUCCAGUGUUCUCACUGGUGCACUCGACCCGGCUCAGGCCAGCGUCGGUUCUCGCGGGGGGAUAAAAGCUCCGGGAACGUGGCACCUCCGGGUGUGUUAUAGCCCGCUGCUUAAUACCUUCGCGGGGACCGAGGUUCGCGCUCUGCAAGGACGCUGGCAUAAUGGUCAUCAGCGACCCGUCUUGAAACACGGACCAAGGAGUCGAGGUUUUGCGCGAGUGUUUGGGUGUAAAACCCGCACGCGUAAUGAAAGUGAACGUAGGUGAGAGCUUCGGCGCAUCAUCGACCGAUCCUGAUGUAUUCGGAUGGAUUUGAGUAAGAGCGUAUAGCCUCGGACCCGAAAGAUGGUGAACUAUGCCUGAAUAGGGUGAAGCCAGAGGAAACUCUGGUGGAGGCUCGCAGCGGUUCUGACGUGCAAAUCGAUCGUCAAAUUUGGGCAUGGGGGCGAAAGACUAAUCGAACCAUCUAGUAGCUGGUUACCGCCGAAGUUUCCCUCAGGAUAGCAGUGUUGUUCUUCAGUUUUAUGAGGUAAAGCGAAUGAUUAGGGACUCGGGGGCGCUAUAUAGCCUUCAUCCAUUCUCAAACUUUAAAUAUGUAAGAAGCCCUUGUUACUUAAUUGAACGUGGGCAUUCGAAUGUACCAACACUAGUGGGCCAUUUUUGGUAAGCAGAACUGGCGAUGCGGGAUGAACCGAACGCGGGGUUAAGGUGCCAGAGUGGACGCUCAUCAGACACCACAAAAGGCGUUAGUACAUCUUGACAGCAGGACGGUGGCCAUGGAAGUCGGAAUCCGCUAAGGACUGUGUAACAACUCACCUGCCGAAUGUACUAGCCCUGAAAAUGGAUGGCGCUCAAGCGUCCCACCCAUACCCCGCCGUCA
Molecule: ribosomal RNA, 1220 nt
Filed under: fungal sp.
Lineage: Eukaryota; Fungi
Description: eukaryotic LSU rRNA
Rfam family: Eukaryotic large subunit ribosomal RNA
Source: RNAcentral